GUGGGCUUUGUUGGCUCCUGUGGUUAGAAGCAGCCUCUAUGGUGCUGAAAACUCACCCUUCAGUUCCUGAAACAAUUCCAAUUCUGAGAAACAGGGAUGGAACCUUCCAUAAGGAUGACUUAAGUGCAGAAAGUUGAUUUGGUGUUUUAAAAGGACAGAUAUUAAUAUCCAGGGUUCUCUAAUGGGUGUGUCUGUUUCUCAGCAAAAGGUGUCUUACUCAAAGAAUCUUCAGUGUGUUCCUGCUUUCGCUGUUCUUUAGGUGCUUGUACAGGCUUGGCCAUACUUUGGAACAAUCACGGAAAAAACAUUUAAAGAAGUUCUUGAACCAAAAAUCAGAGCAAAGCAUGUACAUCUGAAAACAUGCACCUUUACCAAGAUCCACUUCGGCGAGAAGUGCCCUAGAAUUAAUGGAAUAAAAGCCUACA
Taeniopygia guttata (zebra finch) is the source of this 425-nucleotide non-coding RNA. The record is from RefSeq and is a predicted model, not a curated record. Lineage: Eukaryota; Metazoa; Chordata; Aves; Passeriformes; Estrildidae.